AGGACACUCUAUACGGAGUUACAAAGGACGACAUUAGACGAAUCAUCUGGAAAGAUGAAUCAAAGAAGGUAAUAAUCCUGUAGUCGAAAAUGUUGUCUCUCUUGAGUGGAUCCUGAGUACGACGGAGCACGUGAAAUUCCGUCGGAAUCUGGGAGGACCAUCUCCUAAGGCUAAAUACUCUCUAGUGACCGAUAGUGAACCAGUACCGUGAGGGAAAGGUGAAAAGCACCCCGGAAGGGGAGUGAAAUAGAACCUGAAACCGUGUGCUUACAAGUAGUCAGAGCCCGUUAAUGGGUGAUGGCGUGCCUUUUGUAGAAUGAACCGGCGAGUUACGAUUUGAUGCAAGGUUAAGCAGUAAAUGUGGAGCCGUAGCGAAAGCGAGUCUGAAUAGGGCGUUUAGUAUUUGGUCGUAGACCCGAAACCAGGUGAUCUACCCUUGGUCAGGUUGAAGUUCAGGUAACACUGAAUGGAGGACCGAACCGACUUACGUUGAAAAGUGAGCGGAUGAACUGAGGGUAGCGGAGAAAUUCCAAUCGAACCUGGAGAUAGCUGGUUCUCUCCGAAAUAGCUUUAGGGCUAGCCUCAAGUGAUGAUUAUUGGAGGUAGAGCACUGUUUGGACGAGGGGCCCCUCUCGGGUUACCGAAUUCAGACAAACUCCGAAUGCCAAUUAAUUUAACUUGGGAGUCAGAACAUGGGUGAUAAGGUCCGUGUUCGAAAGGGAAACAGCCCAGACCACCAGCUAAGGUCCCAAAAUAUAUGUUAAGUGGAAAAGGAUGUGGCGUUGCCCAGACAACUAGGAUGUUGGCUUAGAAGCAGCCAUCAUUUAAAGAGUGCGUAAUAGCUCACUAGUCGAGUGACACUGCGCCGAAAAUGUACCGGGGCUAAACAUAUUACCGAAGCUGUGGAUUGUCCUUUGGACAAUGGUAGGAGAGCGUUCUAAGGGCGUUGAAGCAUGAUCGUAAGGACAUGUGGAGCGCUUAGAAGUGAGAAUGCCGGUGUGAGUAGCGAAAGACGGGUGAGAAUCCCGUCCACCGAUUGACUAAGGUUUCCAGAGGAAGGCUCGUCCGCUCUGGGUUAGUCGGGUCCUAAGCUGAGGCCGACAGGCGUAGGCGAUGGAUAACAGGUUGAUAUUCCUGUACCACCUAUAAUCGUUUUAAUCGAUGGGGGGACGCAGUAGGAUAGGCGAAGCGUGCGAUUGGAUUGCACGUCUAAGCAGUAAGGCUGAGUAUUAGGCAAAUCCGGUAC
This 1246-nucleotide ribosomal RNA is filed under the name Staphylococcus aureus. RNAcentral's name for it is "partial 23S ribosomal RNA". It matches the Rfam family "Bacterial large subunit ribosomal RNA", at positions 296 to 1548 of the family's 2925-position model. Lineage: Bacteria; Bacillati; Bacillota; Bacilli; Caryophanales; Staphylococcaceae. The record is from RNAcentral.